GACGAACCGUGCGAACGUUAUUCGGAAUCACUGGGCUUAAAGCGCGUGUAGGCGGAUGAGCACGUCUGUCGCUGAAAUCCCCCGGCUCAACCGGGGAACGGGCGCGGAUACGGCUCGUCUCGAGGGGCGUAGGGGGACCUGGAACUUCCGGUGGAGCGGUGAAAUGCGUUGAGAUCGGAAGGAACGCCCGUGGCGAAAGCGAGGUCCUGGACGCCUACUGACGCUGAGACGCGAAAGCCAGGGGAGCGAACGGG
This 254-nucleotide ribosomal RNA is filed under the name uncultured bacterium. Its description in RNAcentral is "partial 16S ribosomal RNA". It matches the Rfam family "Bacterial small subunit ribosomal RNA", at positions 524 to 776 of the family's 1533-position model. The record is from RNAcentral.